UCCAUACAUCUCAUGGAAGAGCUGUCCAGAGUCUAGACAACACAGAAAGUGGUCAUUUUGGUCUUUUGGAACUUUAAAUAGUUCCCAUCACUUCCUGGAUUUACUUUGGCUACAGACAUCUUCUCCAUAUAAACCCAAGAAAAGAUGGGCACUAAUACUGAAUAAUACAUGAUUCCACAUAUCUCCAGGCUCAUAAAUAUUCAGAGUGCUCAGACUACUUCUAAAGUAUAUAUAUUUAGUCAAGGGAACAACAGCUUCAGUGCUGCCCAGAAAAGCUAUGCUCCACGCUUGUGCCUCAUUCACAAUGGCUUCCUGGUGAAGAAUCCAGAUUUUAUUGGAGGAGGUAAUGAAGUCACCUAAAGUAUUUCAUUUUCUAGUACUCUUGGUCAAUUGUCGACAAAAGUAUUGUGUGGGCGCUCUCUGCCAAAAAGAAGCUGACUCAGCUGCUUCCUGGACUGUGAACAAAGUGGCAGAAAUUUGGGAAGUCAACUUGGACUAUGAGAUGACCUUGGGGAUAGAAGCCACAAACUAGGAGGUAGAACAGAAAGAUGGAAGGAACAUGAGCCCUGAGGACUCUGGAACCUGCAAAAUUUUGCCUAAAUACUCCAGAUUCCCUUUGCCUGAGAGAAAAGUAAAAUUUUAUUUUGUUUAAGCCUUUUAUAUUUUGUGUUUUUUUCUGUAAUGUAGAGCACAUCAAGUUCUAAGUGAUAGAAGUAACAUUUUCGGUUCCAUGGAAUACUAUUUUUCUUCUAGGUGUUUUGAUCAAAAAGUAAAUAAACAAACAAUCCCCCAAAACACUAAACAACCAUAAACAAUAACAAGAUAAAACAAGAACCAAGGAGGUCAAUUAAGUUCGUAACACAUUUCAGCCUAAAGCCUACAUGUAAUGCCUCUAUGUCAACGUCAAUCUAAUGCCUACAGGUCUCCAUAUAAGAGACUAUAGGAGUCUAUAGGAGCACAUUAAAGGCUCUGUAAAUUACCAGAGACAGGAAAGUGGGUUAACUUUGACCUAGCCCCUCCCAGAGAUAAUUAUUUGUCUAUGAUCCCUUUCUUGUGAAACACUUGUUAAUAUUGUGGAUAAGUAACACCACAGGAGCCAUUUUAAAAUAGAGCCUCAGCAACCACUGCAGACAAACUGCCUUACUCGCCUUUGUCUGAACCUGGCCAGAGCCUUUGGACCUGGAAAAACAGCAAUGGUUUUAAACAAUUGCUGGAGAAGUCAGAAGGAGAACGGACACCCUGAUCAUAAGAACAGUUGUGGACUUUGUGCAGUCACAAUCAGUAAUCAAUCAAUGCAAAACCCAGAAUAGCAUAGCUUGUUAACACCAUAGAAAACUUUUUCUUUUCUUCAACUCAUGGAAUUGCCCCUUUACUUUUCCUCUUAUGCUUUCACCCUACAAGUGGGACACUCUUUGGGUUUCUACCUCAAUCUGUGUUCCCUGAACCGGAGUUCUAGGAUACCAAAAUUAAUGCCCAUUUACUUCUCUUUGAAGCUCUUAUUUGCAGGUUAACUAUACCUUAUAGAAUAUAGUUUAGGAAGCUGUACUUCGGUUUAGUUUUAGGAAACAUCACUUUCGAGACUGCCCAGAAUACUGGGCUUAAUGAAGUCUUGGACUGACUGAGAAAAACGAGAAGUGCCUCCGGCUCUGUUCCUAACCGCCUAGUGAGUCCAUCUUCUGUAAAAUAAAGGACUUUGAAUCAGAUUGCCAAUUAGCUUUCAGCCCUACACUUCCAUGAGGUCAGAUUAGGUCUGACAAACAGUUAUCUUUUGGGUGUUCUUAGAUGCAAGCA
This is a long non-coding RNA of Panthera uncia (snow leopard), 1791 nucleotides long. RefSeq lists it as uncharacterized. NCBI's taxonomy places the organism in Eukaryota, Metazoa, Chordata, Mammalia, Carnivora, Felidae. The transcript is spliced from 3 exons. The record is from RefSeq and is a predicted model, not a curated record.